GAGUUUGAUCAUGGCUCAGAUUGAACACUGGCGGCAGGCCUAACACAUGCAAGUCGAACGGUAACAGGAAACAGCUUGCUGUUUCGCUGACGAGUGGCGGACGGGUGAGUAAUGUCUGGGAAACUGCCUGAUGGAGGGGGAUAACUACUGGAAACGGUAGCUAAUACCGCAUAACGUCGCAAGACCAAAGAGGGGGACCUUCGGGCCUCUUGCCAUCGGAUGUGCCCAGAUGGGAUUAGCUAGUAGGUGGGGUAACGGCUCACCUAGGCGACGAUCCCUAGCUGGUCUGAGAGGAUGACCAGCCACACUGGAACUGAGACACGGUCCAGACUCCUACGGGAGGCAGCAGUGGGGAAUAUUGCACAAUGGGCGCAAGCCUGAUGUAGCCAUGCCACGUGUAUGAAGAAGGCCUUCGGGUUGUAAAGUACUUUCAGCGGGGAGGAAGGGAGUAAAGUUAAUACCUUUGCUCAUUGACGUUACCCGCAGAAGAAGCACCGGCUAACUCCGUGCCAGCAGCCGCGGUAAUACGGAGGGUGCAAGCGUUAAUCGGAAUUACUGGGCGUAAAGCGCACGCAGGCGGUUUGUUAAGUCAGAUGUGAAAUCCCCGGGCUCAACCUGGGAACUGCAUCUGAUACUGGCAAGCUUGAGUCUCGUAGAGGGGGGUAGAAUUCCAGGUGUAGCGGUGAAAUGCGUAGAGAUCUGGAGGAAUACCGGUGGCGAAGGUGGCCCCCUGGACGAAGACUGACGCUCAGGUGCGAAAGCGUGGGGAGCAAACAGGAUUAGAUACCCUGGUAGUCCACGCCGUAAACGAUGUCGACUUGGAGGUUGUGCCCUUGAGGCGUGGCUUCCGGAGUUAACGCGUUAAGUCGACCGCCUGGGGAGUACGGCCGCAAGGUUAAAACUCAAAUGAAUUGACGGGGGCCCGCACAAGCGGUGGAGCAUGUGGUUUAAUUCGAUGCAACGCGAAGAACCUUACCUGGUCUUGACAUCCACGGAAGUUUUCAGAGAUGAGAAUGUGCCUUCGGGAACCGUGAGACAGGUGCUGCAUGGCUGUCGUCAGCUCGUGUUGUGAAAUGUUGGGUUAAGUCCCGCAACGAGCGCAACCCUUAUCCUUUGUUGCCAGCGGUCCGGCCGGGAACUCAAAGGAGACUGCCAGUGAUAAACUGGAGGAAGGUGGGGAUGACGUCAAACCAUCAUGGCCCUUACGACCAGGGCUACACACGUGCUACAAUGGCGCAUACAAAGAGAAGCGACCUCGCGAGAGCAAGCGGACCUCAUAAAGUGCGUCGUAGUCCGGAUUGGAGUCUGCAACUCGACUCCAUGAAGUCGGAAUCGCUAGUAAUCGUGGAUCAGAAUGCCACGGUGAAUACGUUCCCGGGCCUUGUACACACCGCCCGUCACACCAUGGGAGUGGGUUGCAAAAGAAGUAGGUAGCUUAACCUUCGGGAGGGCGCUUACCACUUUGUGAUUCAUGACUGGGGUGAAGUCGUAACAAGGUAACUGUAGGGGAACCUGCGGUUG
Molecule: ribosomal RNA, 1521 nt
Filed under: metagenome
Description: bacterial SSU rRNA
Rfam family: Bacterial small subunit ribosomal RNA
Source: RNAcentral